RNAcentral lists this ribosomal RNA (492 nucleotides) under uncultured bacterium. RNAcentral describes it as "partial 16S ribosomal RNA". It matches the Rfam family "Bacterial small subunit ribosomal RNA", at positions 29 to 507 of the family's 1533-position model. The record is from RNAcentral.
AGUGAACGCUGGCGGUAGGCCUAGCACAUGCAAGUCGAACGGCAGCACAGUAAGAGCUUGCUCUUACGGGUGGCGAGUGGCGGACGGGUGAGGAAUACAUCGGAAUCUACUUUUUCGUGGGGGAUAACGUAGGGAAACUUACGCUAAUACCGCAUACGACCUACGGGUGAAAGCAGGGGAUCUUCGGACCUUGCGCGAUUGAAUGAGCCGAUGUCGGAUUAGCUAGUUGGCGGGGUAAAGGCCCACCAAGGCGACGAUCCGUAGCUGGUCUGAGAGGAGGAACAGCUACACUGGAACUGAGACACGGUCCAGACUCCUACGGGAGGCAGCAGUGGGGAAUAUUGGACAAUGGGCGCAAGCCUGAUCCAGCCAUACCGCGUGGGUGAAGAAGGCCUUCGGGUUGUAAAGCCCUUUUGUUGGGAAAGAAAAGCAGCAGGUUAAUACCCCGCUGUUCUGACGGUACCCAAAGAAUAAGCACCGGCUAACUUCGUG